This 231-nucleotide ribosomal RNA is filed under the name Cronobacter sakazakii. Its description in RNAcentral is "partial 23S ribosomal RNA". It matches the Rfam family "Bacterial large subunit ribosomal RNA", at positions 1357 to 1591 of the family's 2925-position model. The record is from RNAcentral. Lineage: Bacteria; Pseudomonadati; Pseudomonadota; Gammaproteobacteria; Enterobacterales; Enterobacteriaceae.
GUCCAACGUUAAUCGGGGCAGGGUGAGUCGACCCCUAAGGCGAGGCCGAAAGGCGUAGUCGAUGGGAAACAGGUUAAUAUUCCUGUACUUGGUGUUACUGCGAAGGGGGGACGGAGAAGGCUAUGUCGGCCGGGCGACGGUUGUCCCGGUUUAAGCGUGUAGGCUGACUUUCCAGGCAAAUCCGGAAAGUUAAGGCUGAGGCGUGAUGACGAGGCACCACGGUGCUGAAGU